RNAcentral lists this ribosomal RNA (468 nucleotides) under uncultured bacterium. Its description in RNAcentral is "partial 16S ribosomal RNA". It matches the Rfam family "Bacterial small subunit ribosomal RNA", at positions 28 to 507 of the family's 1533-position model. The record is from RNAcentral.
GACGAACGCUGGCGGUGCGCUUAAUACAUGCAAGUCGAACGGUAAGGCCCUUUCGGGGGUACACACGUGGCGAACGGGGGAGUAACACGUGGGUAACAUCCCCUAAUUAACGGGCUAACAGUCGGAAACGGUUGCUUAUACUGGAUAUGUGAUAGCGAGGCAUCUUGAUGGUUGGAAAGUUUUUUUUUGGAAGGGGAUGGACUCGCGGUCUCUCAGCUAGUUGGUGAGGAUGUGGCUCACCAAGGCUUAGACGGGUAGCUGGCCAGAGAGGGCGACCGGCCACAUAGAGUCUGAGAUACGGCCGAAACACCGACGGGAGGCAGCAGGGGGAAAGUUUGCACGAGGAACGGAAGGCUGAUGCAGCAGCGCCGCGUGCGGUAUGACGGCGUUCGAGUUGUAAACCGCUUUCAAUAGUGACGAAGCUUUUUUGUGACGGUAGCUGUAGAGGAAGCACCGGCUAACUACGUG